RNAcentral lists this ribosomal RNA (253 nucleotides) under uncultured bacterium. RNAcentral's name for it is "partial 16S ribosomal RNA". It matches the Rfam family "Bacterial small subunit ribosomal RNA", at positions 524 to 776 of the family's 1533-position model. The record is from RNAcentral.
UACGUAGGGUGCGAGCGUUGUCCGGAAUUAUUGGGCGUAAAGGGCUCGUAGGCGGUUUGUCGCGUCGGGUGUGAAAACUCAGGGCUCAACCCUGAGCGUGCUUCCGAUACGGGCAGACUAGAGGUAUGCAGGGGAGAACGGAAUUCCUGGUGUAGCGGUGGAAUGCGCAGAUAUCAGGAGGAACACCGGUGGCGAAGGCGGUUCUCUGGGCAUUACCUGACGCUGAGGAGCGAAAGCAUGGGGAGCGAACAGG